This 421-nucleotide long non-coding RNA is filed under the name Piliocolobus tephrosceles (Ugandan red Colobus). RNAcentral describes it as "lncRNA (ENSPTEG00000026522.1)". Lineage: Eukaryota; Metazoa; Chordata; Mammalia; Primates; Cercopithecidae. The record is from RNAcentral.
UGAAGAUACGUGAUGGAGAGACGAAAGUGGGGAGCAUCUCAGAUGAAGAAUAGAGUAAACACAGGGAAUUUGAACUCUACAUGGCAUCUGUUAGAAGGUUGAAUUGUCUAUAUCUAAGCUUCUGAUUUAUCCUAUCUAGACCCACCUUAAUCCCAGUAAUAAAGAAGGUGAUGUGGGAACCCUUAGAAGUAAUCAAUGGAAAGCCUAUAAAGUAAGAAAAAUAUUGAGUAACUGGCAAUUGGCUCAUAAAUAUCCCUGGCACAGCCUGAGACAGUCCUUGGCUGCCUUUUCUGGAGCGGAAUCUUCCAUUGUGAUGAGAAGGAAGUUGCCAGCAGACACAGCCACCUGCAUCCCACACAACAGCUUUAAAGGAGAAAACCCCGUGGAGAAAGAACUGAAACUGAGAGGAGUUCCAAACUAA